RNAcentral lists this ribosomal RNA (452 nucleotides) under Mesobacillus campisalis. RNAcentral describes it as "bacterial SSU rRNA". It matches the Rfam family "Bacterial small subunit ribosomal RNA", at positions 1 to 441 of the family's 1533-position model. Lineage: Bacteria; Bacillati; Bacillota; Bacilli; Caryophanales; Bacillaceae. The record is from RNAcentral.
CUUUAUUGGAGAGUUUGAUCCUGGCUCAGGACGAACGCUGGCGGCGUGCCUAAUACAUGCAAGUCGAGCGGACUUGAGGGAGCUUGCUCCCGAUGGUCAGCGGCGGACGGGUGAGUAACACGUGGGCAACCUGCCUGUAAGACUGGGAUAACUCCGGGAAACCGGAGCUAAUACCGGAUAAUUCAUUCCCUCACAUGAGGGAAUGCUGAAAGACGGCUCCGGCUGUCACUUACAGAUGGGCCCGCGGCGCAUUAGCUAGUUGGUGAGGUAACGGCUCACCAAGGCCACGAUGCGUAGCCGACCUGAGAGGGUGAUCGGCCACACUGGGACUGAGACACGGCCCAGACUCCUACGGGAGGCAGCAGUAGGGAAUCUUCCGCAAUGGACGAAAGUCUGACGGAGCAACGCCGCGUGAGCGAAGAAGGCCUUCGGGUCGUAAAGCUCUGUUGUCA